AUUGAACGCUGGCGGCAUGCCUUACACAUGCAAGUCGAACGGUAACAGGUCUUCGGAUGCUGACGAGUGGCGAACGGGUGAGUAAUACAUCGGAACGUGCCCGAUCGUGGGGGAUAACGAAGCGAAAGCUUUGCUAAUACCGCAUACGAUCUACGGAUGAAAGCAGGGGACCGCAAGGCCUUGCGCGAACGGAGCGGCCGAUGGCAGAUUAGGUAGUUGGUGGGAUAAAAGCUUACCAAGCCGACGAUCUGUAGCUGGUCUGAGAGGACGACCAGCCACACUGGGACUGAGACACGGCCCAGACUCCUACGGGAGGCAGCAGUGGGGAAUUUUGGACAAUGGGCGAAAGCCUGAUCCAGCCAUGCCGCGUGCAGGAUGAAGGCCUUCGGGUUGUAAACUGCUUUUGUACGGAACGAAAAGACUCUGGUUAAUACCUGGGGUCCAUGACGGUACCGUAAGAAUAAGCACCGGCUAACUACGAG
RNAcentral lists this ribosomal RNA (482 nucleotides) under uncultured bacterium. RNAcentral describes it as "partial 16S ribosomal RNA". It matches the Rfam family "Bacterial small subunit ribosomal RNA", at positions 30 to 507 of the family's 1533-position model. The record is from RNAcentral.